AGGAACGAAAGCCGGGGUAGCAAAUGGGAUUAGAUACCCCAGUAGUCCCGGCCGUAAACGAUGGAUACUAGGUGUUGCGGGUAUCGACCCCUGCAGUGCCGCAGCUAACGCGUUAAGUAUCCCGCCUGGGGAGUACGCACGCAAGUGUGAAACUCAAAGGAAUUGACGGGGACCCGCACAAGCGGUGGAACAUGUGGUUUAAUUCGAAGCAACGCGAAGAACCUUACCAGGGCUUGACAUCUGACGAAUGUUUAUGAAAGUAGACAGUGCCUUCGGGAGCGUCAAGACAGGUGGUGCAUGGUUGUCGUCAGCUCGUGUCGUGAGAUGUUGGGUUAAGUCCCGCAACGAGCGCAACCCUCGUUAUUAGUUGGUGUUAGUGGUUUACUGCUAACGACCUCUCUAAUGAGACUGCCGGUGAUAAACCGGAGGAAGGUGGGGAUGACGUCAAAUCAUCAUGCCCCUUAUGUCCUGGGCUACACACGUGUUACAAUGGCCGGUACAGCGAGCAGCCAGACUGUGAAGUUGAGCAAAUCUCUAAAAACCGGUCUCAGUUCGGAUUGCACUCUGCAACUCGAGUGCAUGAAGUCGGAAUCGCUAGUA
Molecule: ribosomal RNA, 600 nt
Filed under: uncultured bacterium
Lineage: Bacteria
Description: bacterial SSU rRNA
Rfam family: Bacterial small subunit ribosomal RNA
Source: RNAcentral